GUGUCAGCCGCCGCGGUAAUACGUAGGUGGCAAGCGUUGUCCGGAUUUACUGGGCGUAAAGAGCGCGCAGGCGGUUGUGCAAGUCGCGUGUGAAAGCCCCCGGCUCAACUGGGGAGGGUCACGCGAUACUGCUCAACUCGAAGGCAGGAGAGGGAAGUGGAAUUCCCGGUGUAGUGGUGAAAUGCGUAGAUAUCGGGAGGAACACCAGUGGCGAAGGCGACUUCCUGGCCUGUUCUUGACGCUGAGGCGCGAAAGCUAGGGUAGCAAACGGGAUUAGAAACCCUGGUAGUCC
This 292-nucleotide ribosomal RNA is filed under the name uncultured bacterium. RNAcentral describes it as "partial 16S ribosomal RNA". It matches the Rfam family "Bacterial small subunit ribosomal RNA", at positions 505 to 796 of the family's 1533-position model. The record is from RNAcentral.